AUGCAAGUCGAACGAAGUUAGGAAGCUUGCUUCUGAUACUUAGUGGCGGACGGGUGAGUAAUGCUUAGGAAUCUGCCUAGUAGUGGGGGAUAACUUGGGGAAACCCAAGCUAAUACCGCAUACGACCUACGGGUGAAAGGGGGCGCAAGCUCUCGCUAUUAGAUGAGCCUAAGUCGGAUUAGCUAGUUGGUGGGGUAAAGGCCUACCAAGGCGACGAUCUGUAGCUGGUCUGAGAGGAUGAUCAGCCACACUGGGACUGAGACACGGCCCAGACUCCUACGGGAGGCAGCAGUGGGGAAUAUUGGACAAUGGGCGAAAGCCUGAUCCAGCCAUGCCGCGUGUGUGAAGAAGGCCUUUUGGUUGUAAAGCACUUUAAGUGGGGAGGAAAAGCUUAUGGUUAAUACCCAUAAGCCCUGACGUUACCCACAGAAUAAGCACCGGCUAACUCUGUGCCAGCAGCCGCGGUAAUACAGAGGGUGCAAGCGUUAAUCGGAAUUACUGGGCGUAAAGCGCGCGUAGGUGGUUAUUUAAGUCAGAUGUGAAAGCCCCGGGCUUAACCUGGGAACUGCAUCUGAUACUGGAUAACUAGAGUAGGUGAGAGGGGAGUAGAAUUCCAGGUGUAGCGGUGAAAUGCGUAGAGAUCUGGAGGAAUACCGAUGGCGAAGGCAGCUCCCUGGCAUCAUACUGACACUGAGGUGCGAAAGCGUGGGUAGCAAACAGGAUUAGAUACCCUGGUAGUCCACGCCGUAAACGAUGUCUACCAGUCGUUGGGUCUUUUAAAGACUUAGUGACGCAGUUAACGCAAUAAGUAGACC
This 815-nucleotide ribosomal RNA is filed under the name uncultured Moraxella sp. RNAcentral's name for it is "bacterial SSU rRNA". It matches the Rfam family "Bacterial small subunit ribosomal RNA", at positions 55 to 870 of the family's 1533-position model. Lineage: Bacteria; Pseudomonadati; Pseudomonadota; Gammaproteobacteria; Moraxellales; Moraxellaceae. The record is from RNAcentral.